This 177-nucleotide ribosomal RNA is filed under the name [Chrysosporium] lobatum. Its description in RNAcentral is "Chrysosporium lobatum 5.8S ribosomal RNA". The stretch from base 2 to 155 matches the Rfam family "5.8S ribosomal RNA". Rfam says of the family: 5.8S ribosomal RNA (5.8S rRNA) is a component of the large subunit of the eukaryotic ribosome. It is transcribed by RNA polymerase I as part of the 45S precursor that also contains 18S and 28S rRNA. The record is from RNAcentral. Lineage: Eukaryota; Fungi; Ascomycota; Eurotiomycetes; Onygenales; Onygenaceae.
AAACUUUCAACAACGGAUCUCUUGGUUCCCACAUCGAUGAAGAACGCAGCGAAAUGCGAUAAGUAAUGUGAAUUGCAGAAUUCCGUGAAUCAUCGAAUCUUUGAACGCACAUUGCGCCCCCUGGUAUUCCGGGGGGCAUGCCUGUCCGAGCGUCAUUGCAACCCUCAAGCGCGGCUU